AUUGACGCUGAGGGUAGAAUGACACAGGUUUAUGGUCCAGUCAUUUCUGAAGGUCGUUUGUUUCUCUGGGGUGUUCCCCUAAAACACGUCCGGUUUUCACACACCAGGGGAUUAAUUUAAAUCGAGCUGAAAGCCUUUGAUAUUCACAUAUUGUGAAUUUAUGGUUCAUUUGAACAGUACAGUUUGGUGAUUACUCCAUGUAGCUGGAAUCUGAGUACUUUGUAUCUGUCUGUCCAGUUACAUUUAUAGAUUGGCUAUUACCUAUUAUUGCUGCUGUGGUGAUUGAUCAGGAAAAUAAAAUUAUCAUGUAAACUCAAAUCAUUUUCCUUAACAGCGCUUUCCUUAUGAAUGUAGAUAUUGGUGAAUUUUCCAUUCCUAAAGCACGAAUAGUGAUUGUGUUGGGAGGUGAACAAGAUGCAUCGUGCUUCUAAUGAGUCUUUUAUUGA
Non-coding RNA from Pelobates cultripes (western spadefoot toad), 446 nucleotides. The record is from the annotation of a GenBank genome assembly. Lineage: Eukaryota; Metazoa; Chordata; Amphibia; Anura; Pelobatidae.